AUUGAACGCUGGCGGAAUGCUUUACACAUGCAAGUCGAGCGGCAGCGCGGCCUUCGGGCUGGCGGCGAGCGGCGAACGGGUGAGUAAUGCAUCGGAACAUGCCCAGUCGUGGGGGAUAACACUUCGAAAGAAGUGCUAAUACCGCAUACGUCCUGAGGGGGAAAGCGGGGGAUCGCAAGACCUCGCGCGAUUGGAGUGGCCGAUGUCAGAUUAGCUAGUUGGUGGGGUAAAGGCCUACCAAGGCGACGAUCUGUAGCUGGUCUGAGAGGAUGAUCAGCCACACUGGGACUGAGACACGGCCCAGACUCCUACGGGAGGCAGCAGUGGGGAAUUUUGGACAAUGGGGGCAACCCUGAUCCAGCCAUUCCGCGUGAGUGGAGAAGGCCUUCGGGUUGUAAAGCUCUUUCGGCAGGAACGAAACGGUGGGCUCUAACAUAGUCCGCUAAUGACGGUACCUGAAGAAGAAGCACCGGCUAACUACGUG
This 484-nucleotide ribosomal RNA is filed under the name uncultured bacterium. RNAcentral describes it as "partial 16S ribosomal RNA". It matches the Rfam family "Bacterial small subunit ribosomal RNA", at positions 29 to 507 of the family's 1533-position model. The record is from RNAcentral.